GAUGAACGCUGGCGGCGUGCCUAAUACAUGCAAGUCGAGCGAACAGAUGAGGAGCUUGCUCCUCUGACGGUAGCGGCGGACGGGUGAGUAACACGUGGAUAACCUACCUAUAAUACUGGGAUAACCUCGGGAAACCGGAGCUAAUACCGGAUAAUAUAUUGAACCGCAUGGUUCAAUAGUGAAAGACGGUUUUGCUGUCACUUAUAGAUGGAUCCGCGUCGCAUUAGCUAGUUGGUAAGGUAACGGCUUACCAAGGCUACGAUGCGUAGCCGAUCUGAGAGGAUGAUCAGCCACACUGGAACUGAGACACGGUCCAGACUCCUACGGGAGGCAGCAGUAGGGAAUAUUGCGCAAUGGGCGAAAGCCUGAUGGAGCAACGCCGCGUGAGUGAUGAAGGUCUUCGGAUCGUAAAACUCUGUUAUUAGGGAAGAAAAAAUGUGUAAGUAACUAUGCACGUCUUGACGGUACCUAAACAGAAAGCCACGGCUAACUACGUG
RNAcentral lists this ribosomal RNA (497 nucleotides) under uncultured bacterium. RNAcentral describes it as "partial 16S ribosomal RNA". It matches the Rfam family "Bacterial small subunit ribosomal RNA", at positions 28 to 507 of the family's 1533-position model. The record is from RNAcentral.